Molecule: ribosomal RNA, 1362 nt
Filed under: uncultured bacterium
Lineage: Bacteria
Description: partial 16S ribosomal RNA
Rfam family: Bacterial small subunit ribosomal RNA
Source: RNAcentral
GAUGAACGCUAGCGAUAGGCUUAACACAUGCAAGUCGAGGGGCAGCAUGGUCUUAGCUUGCUAAGACUGAUGGCGACCGGCGCACGGGUGCGUAACGCGUAUGCAACUUGCCUCACAGAGGGGGAUAACCCGUCGAAAGACGGACUAAUACCGCGUACACUCCAUCUUGGGCAUCCAAGGAGGAGGAAAUGAAAUUCGCUGUGAGAUAGGCAUGCGUCCCAUUAGCUUGUUGGUGAGGUAACGGCUCACCAAGGCAACGAUGGGUAGGGGAACUGAGAGGUUGAACCCCCACACUGGUACUGAGACACGGACCAGACUCCUACGGGAGGCAGCAGUGAGGAAUAUGGGUCAAUGGGCGAGAGCCUGAACCAGCCAAGUCGCGUGAAGGAUGACUGUCUUAUGGAUUGUAAACUUCUUUUAUACGGGAAUAACAAGAGCCACGUGUGGCUCCCUGCAUGUACCGUAUGAAUAAGCAUCGGCUAACUCCGUGCCAGCAGCCGCGGUAAUACGGAGGAUGCGAGCGUUAUCCGGAUUUAUUGGGUUUAAAGGGUGCGUAGGCGGCCUGUUAAGUCAGCGGUGAAAUCUAGGAGCUUAACUCCUAAAUUGCCAUUGAAACUGGCGGGCUUGAGUGUAGAUGAGGUAGGCGGAAUGCGUGGUGUAGCGGUGGAAUGCAUAGAUAUCACGCAGAACUCCAAUUGCGAAGGCAGCUUACUAAGGUACAACUGACGCUGAAGCUCGAAAGCGUGGGUAUCAAACAGGAUUAGAUACCCUGGUAGUCCACGCCGUAAACGAUGAUUGCUGGGCGUAUGCGAUAUACAGUAUGCUCCUGCUCCAAAUCGUUCAUUUAUCCCUCUGGGGAGUACGCCCGACCCCGUGGUUCUCACUCGAAUUGAUUGGCGGCCACCCACACGGACGAACGUAGUGUGUUAAUUCAUUGAUACCCGCGGAAACAUCCUCGGCAUUGAUUUGCAUAUGAUCACUCCUGAAAAGAAGUUUUUCUUCCUUACAUCACUGUAUGUGCUGCGUGGUUGGCUUCUCCUCGUGUCGUGACGUGUCAUGUUGGGUGACAUACCGAGCGCAGCCCCUGUCUUAUGAUGACAUCCCGUGGUGCUGGUAACUCCUCAAAUACUGCUGUCGCAGAGCGUGAGGAAGGUGGUGAUGAUGACAUAUCAUCAUCGUGCUUAUUUCGAGGUGGACUCCCCUGUUACUAUGGUGAAGACUACGGCCAGCUACCUGCUCACAAGAUGCAACUCUCCUCUUCUUAUCAUUCUUCGGAUCGAAUUCUGCAUCUCGACUCCCUGCAUGUGGAUUGACUCGUUAUCUCUCAUCAGAUCAUGGCGCGGUGAAUACAUUCUCUGCCCU